RNAcentral lists this ribosomal RNA (467 nucleotides) under uncultured bacterium. RNAcentral's name for it is "partial 16S ribosomal RNA". It matches the Rfam family "Bacterial small subunit ribosomal RNA", at positions 28 to 506 of the family's 1533-position model. The record is from RNAcentral.
GACGAACGCUGGCGGCGUGCUUAACACAUGCAAGUCGAACGGAAAGGCCCUGCUUUUGUGGGGUGCUCGAGUGGCGAACGGGUGAGUAACACGCGAGUAACCUGCCCUUGACUUUGGGAUAACUUCAGGAAACUGGGGCUAAUACCGGAUAGGAGCUCCUGCUGCAUGGUGGGGGUUGGAAAGUUUCGGCGGUUGGGGAUGGACUCGCGGCUUAUCAGCUUGUUGGUGGGGUAGUGGCUUACCAAGGCUAUGACGGGUAGCCGGCCUGAGAGGGUGACCGGCCACAUUGGGACUGGGAUACGGCCCAGACUCCUACGGGAGGCAGCAGUGGGGAAUAUUGGACAAUGGGCGGAAGCAUGAUGCAGCAACGCCGCGUGCGGGAUGACGGCCUUCGGGUUGUAAACCGCUUUCGCCUGUGACGAAGCGUGAGUGACGGUAAUGGGUAAAGAAGCACCGGCUAACUACGU